Molecule: ribosomal RNA, 301 nt
Filed under: uncultured bacterium
Lineage: Bacteria
Description: partial 16S ribosomal RNA
Rfam family: Bacterial small subunit ribosomal RNA
Source: RNAcentral
CAGUAGCCGCGGUAAUACGAAGGGUGCAAGCGUUAAUCGGAAUUACUGGGCGUAAAGCGUGCGUAGGCGGUUUGUUAAGUCUGCUGUGAAAUCCCCGGGCUCAACCUGGGAAUGGCAGCGGAUACUGGCAAGCUAGAGUGUGUCAGAGGAUGGUGGAAUUCCCGGUGUAGCGGUGAAAUGCGUAGAGAUCGGGAGGAACAUCAGUGGCGAAGGCGGCCAUCUGGGACAACACUGACGCUGAGGCACGAAAGCGUGGGGAGCAAACAGGAUUAGAUACCCCCGUAGUCCCUGUCUCUUAUAC